GGGGGGGGGGGGGGGGGGCACUUUCUGUUGGGGGGGCGAAGUUAGGGAGGAAGGAGAAGCAAAAUUUCUCUCUUCCCGCCCUCUCACUUUCGGCCUCGCCUGCUGGUGGCCGGAGGGCCCCGGGACCGUCCGACGGUGAAGGCUUGGGAAGCGCGCGCCCGAGCUCUGGGCGAUCGCGGCCCGGCCUGCGGACUGUGGGCCCGCGGCCAGCGCCGAAACCCGGCCCCUCCCGGAUACGGCGCCACCGAGACACAACCCCCCAGCUCCCGCUUCGUUUCAGGGGCUGACGCUGGGAAAAGCCCGCCGCGCGCCUGGCCGAAGGAGAAGAAAACAAGACCCAAACCUGGUGACUUGCCCUCAGUUCCUUGGCGAUGACAACUUAAAGUCCUUCACAGAGAAGAACUGGUGGCUCGGGAUAAGACUAACAGCUGAACUGCUAGCAAAAAGCCAUAAGAACUUGAGCAGAGACUCAAAUCCACAGUUCUCUGCAUGGAGGAGUCUGACACCAGUGAGAUCUCCACCACAUAGGCGCUUGGCUGCUCCAGGCCACACUAGAAAGACAUUGUCAAGAAGCAGACAACUUCAGCUUAGUUUGCAGACUUUUGAGAUUUUUUAAAAUAGUUGUGUUCAAUGGGGAAGUGAAAAAAUUAUCUUCCUAGCCUUUCCUCCACCCCAUUGUUUCCUGCUGCAAUGGCUUGCUCCUUGUGCUCCCUGAGUGUGUGCCUGUGCUAUUAGAGGCCGCGUGGUGGUGGGAAUCCUCUCAUUUGUUUUCUAUAUUUAAAGCGGGAAUAAAGGGAUUUGCAAUGUAGCAGGUGCUCAAUAAAUACUGCAGACUAAUCCCACUUUUCAAAGCUUAGAGGUUAAAGAGAUGAUCAGUCGAUAAGUAACUAGAGAAAAGAAAUAGAGCAAGAGUCUAGAAGAGUGGAUUUAAAACACCACUGGUUUGUUUAUUUUAGAAGGGAGGAGAAAGUCAUCUGUCCAAAUACACAUCUGGCUGGAGUAAGAGAAAACAAUGCC
Molecule: long non-coding RNA, 1017 nt
Filed under: Equus caballus (horse)
Lineage: Eukaryota; Metazoa; Chordata; Mammalia; Perissodactyla; Equidae
Description: lncRNA (ENSECAG00000046583.1)
Source: RNAcentral